Molecule: ribosomal RNA, 484 nt
Filed under: uncultured bacterium
Lineage: Bacteria
Description: partial 16S ribosomal RNA
Rfam family: Bacterial small subunit ribosomal RNA
Source: RNAcentral
AUUGAACGCUGGCGGCAGGCCUAACACAUGCAAGUCGAGCGGCUGCAGGGAGAUUGCUUCCGGAUUCAGCUGCCGACGGGCGAGUAAUUCCUAGGUACCUGCCUGGCUGCUUGGGAUAACGUCCGGACAUGGGCGCAAAUACCGCAAACGUCCAGAGGGCGAACGUGGGGAAUCUUGGGAUCUUACGCCAUUAGACGAUCCUAGGUCGGAUUAGCUAGUUGGUGGGGUAAAGGCCUACCAAGGCGACGAUCCGUAACUGGUCUGAGAGGAUGAUCAGUCACACUGGAACUGAGACACGGUCCAGACUCCUACGGGAGGCAGCAGUGGGGAAUAUUGGACAAUGGGCGAAAGCCUGAUCCAGCCAUGCCGCGUGGGUGAAGAAGGUCUUCGGGUUGUAAAGCACUUUAGGUGGGAAGGAAGAGCAGUAAGUUAAUACCUUGCUGUUUUGACGUUACCAACAGAAUAAGCACCGGCUAACUUCGUG